Molecule: ribosomal RNA, 254 nt
Filed under: uncultured bacterium
Lineage: Bacteria
Description: partial 16S ribosomal RNA
Rfam family: Bacterial small subunit ribosomal RNA
Source: RNAcentral
UACGUAGGGUGCAAGCGUUAUCCGGAAUUAUUGGGCGUAAAGAGCUCGUAGGCGGUUUGUCGCGUCGGGAGUGAAAGCCCACUGCUUAACGGUGGGUCUGCUUCCGGUACGGGCGGGCUGGAGUAUGGCAGGGGAGACUGGAAUUCCUGGUGUAGCGGUGGAAUGCGCAGAUAUCUGGAGGAACACCGGUGGCGAAGGCGGCAUCCUGGACCGGCAUUGACGCUGAGGCGCGAAAGCCAGGGGAGCAAAGCGGG